CUGUACCAUGCUGAAUAUACCGGUUCUCGUUAGAUCACCGAAGUCAAGCAUCAUUGGGCGCGGUCAGUACUUGGGUGGGUGACCACCUGGGAACACUGCGUGCCGUU
Caerostris darwini is the source of this 107-nucleotide non-coding RNA. Lineage: Eukaryota; Metazoa; Arthropoda; Arachnida; Araneae; Araneidae. The record is from the annotation of a GenBank genome assembly.